CAGCAGCCGCGGGAAAACCAGCACCUCGAGUGGUCAGGAGGUUUAUUGGGCCUAAAGCAUCCGUAGCCGGUUGCAUAAGUUUUCGGUUAAAUCUAUGCGCUUAACGUAUAGGCCGCCGAAAAUACUGUGCAGCUAGGGAGUGGGAGAGGUACACGGUACUCGAUAGGAAGGGGUAAAAUCCUUUGAUCUAUUGAUGACCACCUGUGGCGAAGGCGGUGUACCAGAACACGUUCGACGGUGAGGGAUGAAAGCUGGGGGAGCAAACCGGAUUAGAUACCCGUGUAGUCUCUGUCUCUUAUAC
Molecule: ribosomal RNA, 301 nt
Filed under: uncultured bacterium
Lineage: Bacteria
Description: partial 16S ribosomal RNA
Rfam family: Archaeal small subunit ribosomal RNA
Source: RNAcentral